UACGGAGGGUGCAAGCGUUAAUCGGAAUUACUGGGCGUAAAGCGCACGCAGGCGGUCUGUCAAGUCGGAUGUGAAAUCCCCGGGCUCAACCUGGGAACUGCAUCCGAAACUGGCAGGCUAGAGUCUUGUAGAGGGGGGUAGAAUUCCAGGUGUAGCGGUGAAAUGCGUAGAGAUCUGGAGGAAAACCGGUGGCGAAGGCGGCCCCCUGGACAAAGACUGACGCUCAGGUGCGAAAGCGUGGGGAGCAAACAGGAUUAGCUACCCUGGUCGUCCACGCCGUAAACGAUGUCGACUUGGAGGUUGUGCCCUUGAGGCGUGGCUUCCGGAGCUAACGCGUUAAGUCGCCCGCCUGGGGAGUACGGCCGCAAGGUUAAC
RNAcentral lists this ribosomal RNA (375 nucleotides) under uncultured bacterium. RNAcentral describes it as "bacterial SSU rRNA". It matches the Rfam family "Bacterial small subunit ribosomal RNA", at positions 524 to 898 of the family's 1533-position model. The record is from RNAcentral.